AGUUAAAAGCUUUAAGAAAGCAUUAUGUUUUGAAUUCAUAAAAGAAAGGUUUAAAUCCUUUAUUAACUU
Molecule: transfer RNA, 69 nt
Filed under: Rhabdoblattella disparis
Lineage: Eukaryota; Metazoa; Arthropoda; Insecta; Blattodea; Blaberidae
Description: tRNA-Ser
Source: RNAcentral